RNAcentral lists this long non-coding RNA (1757 nucleotides) under Equus asinus (donkey). RNAcentral's name for it is "lncRNA (ENSEASG00005030392.1)". The record is from RNAcentral. Lineage: Eukaryota; Metazoa; Chordata; Mammalia; Perissodactyla; Equidae.
CCGCUGCUGCAGCCCGCGGUCCCCAGGGCACGGGCACCGCCCAGCCCGCUGCGGAGACCGGGGGACCGUAGCGGCCGCUUACUGAGUGGGGGGGGGGGGGGUCCGUCGGUGAAGCGGGAAAACACGCCCCCCCCCUCGGUGCGGCCGCAGUGGACCGGCCCAGGGAAAAAGGGAACGCGAGGCCCCUCCCGUCACCACGCGCGGCUGCUCGGGUCGCGCAUGCGCGCGGCGGGGGCGGAGCCUGCGGGCCAGGCGGCGGGAGCGGGCCUCGGGCGCUCUGGCCGGGGUCUCGGGGCCUUGGGCACAGAAGAGCGGAGUGUCGGCGCCUGCUGCCCGACGGGACCCGAGGUAACGCCGCAGGCCGGCUUCUCCCCGCCUGGCCCGAGCCCCUCUCCCGCCUGGGCCGUCGGAGCGAGCCCGCCCCGCCCCCGGAGUCCUGACGACCGCGCGCCGCGACGUGCCCCGCCUCUACCGUCCUCCCGGGGCGGGGCCUGUGGUCCGCGCGGCCCGCGCGCUCGGUUCCGGCCGCCCGGGGAGCACCGCAGGGCGUCGGGAGAGCGACGGGAGUGAGCGUGCGUGGAAGUUGGUCCCGAGGAGGAGGAAGCUUUCGGAGCCCCGGUGCCGCCCCGAUGCGACCUGAACGCGCUUCCGAGGCACGGCUGAGUGGGCCCGCGGGGCUGGAGGCGGAGCGGCGUGGGGCCCCGUCCGCCGUCCUGGUCCGGGGUGCUGCGGCGGCGGCCUCGUGCGCGCGUUUCAUGGCAUUGGGAUUGGAGCUUGUCUUUCCUCGUGACUUUCCUGGCCAUUUCCCUGGGAAUCCUGUUCUGCCACUGCUGCUGAAGUGCCCAGUGUCUGCCGUCUUCCGUGGAAUCCUUAUUGUGGCUCACAAGAUCUCUUAGAAUGCCCAUGUCUAUUCUGGGACUCUGAGGUGCUUAGCCUUAAUUACUGAGAAGGAAAAUACAUCAGGAGUUGUUUCAGAACUAUUAUCCCCAAUACGUCAUUUUGGUUAAAGUUCUUAUACUUAGUUUUAGAUAUAUAGUCAUGUGCUGCAUAACAACGUUUCAGGCAACGACGGACCACAUACAUGAUGGUGGUCCUAUAAGAUUAGUACCACAGAGCCUGGGUGUGUAGUAGGCUGGACCGUCCAGGUUUGUGGAAGUGCACUCUAUGAUGUUUGCACAAUGAUGAAAUCACCUAACGAUGCAUUUCUCAGAAUGCACCCCCGUCGUUAAUCGAUGCAUAACUGUACCUGUACUGAUUUCUGAUCAAGUAUGAUUUUGCUGAAAAUUAUACUUUUCAUGCAAAAUAUUUCUCCCUUAUACAAUUAAUUGCAGUAUAAAACUGGUAGGGAAAACAUCAAGCAUUUGGAAUUAAAAAGUUUGAGACAUCAUGUUCUAAACAGUAAUGCCAUCUUUUUCAUUUACAUAGAUAUUCUGGGUGAAGAACAUUAAAUUCCUUGCUAUAAAGGAAUGUUUUCCCUGUGAAAAGUGAUUUCUGUAAUGCUAAUGUGAGAGAGAAAUACAUUAGUUUUGUUGACUUUGGAGAAUCUGAACUGAGAUACCUUAAAAUUUAAUUUGUUAAAUAUUUGGAUUGACUAUGUAUAUAUGUGAUUGCAUUCAAAACAUACACAGCAUUUACUUAGCUAUACCAAUAGAUCCUUUCCCCAAAUAACUAACUUAACCUUGGAGAAAUCUCAUAAGUCUCAAAGGUAGAAUAUAAUAUGUUGACCUAUUUUCAUGGUUUCACUUCAUUUUCUAUUC